GACGAACGCUGGCGGCGUGCUUAACACAUGCAAGUCGAACGGAAAGGCCCUGCUUUUGUGGGGUGCUCGAGUGGCAAACGGGUGAGUAACACGUGAGUAACCUGCCCUUGACUUUGGGAUAACUUCAGGAAACUGGGGCUAAUACCGGAUAGGAGCUCCUGCUGCAUGGUGGGGGUUGGAAAGUUUCGGCGGUUGGGGAUGGACUCGCGGCUUAUCAGCUUGUUGGUGGGGUAGUGGCUUACCAAGGCUUUGACGGGUAGCCGGCCUGAGAGGGUGACCGGCCACAUUGGGACUGAGAUACGGCCCAGACUCCUACGGGAGGCAGCAGUGGGGAAUAUUGCACAAUGGGCGGAAGCCUGAUGCAGCAACGCCGCGUGCGGGAUGACGGCCUUCGGGUUGUAAACCGCUUUCGCCUGUGACGAAGCGUGAGUGACGGUAAUGGGUAAAGAAGCACCGGCUAACUACGUGCCAGCAGCCGCGGUGAUACGUAGGGUGCGAGCGUUGUCCGGAUUUAUUGGGCGUAAAGGGCUCGUAGGUGGUUGAUCGCGUCGGAAGUGUAAUCUUGGGGCUUAACCCUGAGCGUGCUUUCGAUACGGGUUGACUUGAGGAAGGUAGGGGAGAAUGGAAUUCCUGGUGGAGCGGUGGAAUGCGCAGAUAUCAGGAGGAACACCAGUGGCGAAGGCGGUUCUCUGGGCCUUUCCUGACGCUGAGGAGCGAAAGCGUGGGGAGCGAACAGGCUUAGAUACCCUGGUAGUCCACGCUGUAAACGGUGGGUACUAGGUGUGGGGUCCAUUCCACGGGUUCCGUGCCGUAGCUAACGCUUUAAGUACCCCGCCUGGGGAGUACGGCCGCAAGGCUAAAACUCAAAGGAAUUGACGGGGCCCCGCACAAGCGGCGGAGCAUGCGGAUUAAUUCGAUGCAACGCGUAGAACCUUACCUGGGUUUGACAUGGAUCGGGAGUGCUCAGAGAUGGGUGUGCCUCUUUUGGGGUCGGUUCACAGGUGGUGCAUGGCUGUCGUCAGCUCGUGUCGUGAGAUGUUGGGUUAAGUCCCGCAACGAGCGCAACCCUUGUUCACUGUUGCCAGCACGUUAUGGUGGGGACUCAGUGGAGACCGCCGGGGUCAACUCGGAGGAAGGUGGGGAUGACGUCAAGUCAUCAUGCCCCUUAUGUCCAGGGCUUCACGCAUGCUACAAUGGCUGGUACAGAGAGUGGCGAGCCUGUGAGGGUGAGCGAAUCUCGGAAAGCCGGUCUCAGUUCGGAUUGGGGUCUGCAACUCGACCUCUUGAAGUCGGAGUCGCCAGUAAUCGCAGAUCAGCAACGCUGCGGUGAAUACGUUCCCGGGGCU
This 1346-nucleotide ribosomal RNA is filed under the name uncultured bacterium. RNAcentral describes it as "partial 16S ribosomal RNA". It matches the Rfam family "Bacterial small subunit ribosomal RNA", at positions 28 to 1381 of the family's 1533-position model. The record is from RNAcentral.